RNAcentral lists this ribosomal RNA (585 nucleotides) under uncultured bacterium. RNAcentral describes it as "partial 16S ribosomal RNA". It matches the Rfam family "Bacterial small subunit ribosomal RNA", at positions 355 to 1375 of the family's 1533-position model. The record is from RNAcentral.
UGGGGAAUUUUGGACAAUGGGCGAAAGCCUGAUCCAGCAAUGCCGCGUGUGUGAAGAAGGCCUUCGGGUUGUAAAGCACUUUUGUCCGGAAAGAAAUCCUUGGCUCUAAUACAGUCGGGGGAUGACGGUACCGGAAGAAUAAGCACCGGCUAACUACGUGCCAGCAGCCGCGGUAAUACGUAGGGUGCAAGCGUUAAUCGGAAUUACUGGGCGUAAAGCGUGCGCAGGCGGUUUGCUAAGACCGAUGUGAAAUCCCCGGGCUCAACCUGGGAACUGCAUUGGUGACUGGCAGGCUAGAGUAUGGCAGAGGGGGGUAGAAUUCCACGUGUAGCAGUGAAAUGUGUAGAGAUGUGGAGGAAUACCGAUGGCGAAGGCAGCCCCCUGGGCCAAUACUGACGCUCAUGCACGAAAGCGUGGGGAGCAAACAGGAUUAGAUACCCUGGUAGUCCACGCCCUAAACGAUGUCAACUAGUUGUUGGGGAUUCAUUUCCUUAGUAACGUAGCUAACGCGUGAAGUUGACCGCCUGGGGAGUACGGUCGCAAGAUUAAAACUCAAAGGAAUUGACGGGGUCAUAGCUGUUUCCU